Molecule: long non-coding RNA, 1057 nt
Organism: Ricinus communis (castor bean)
Lineage: Eukaryota; Viridiplantae; Streptophyta; Magnoliopsida; Malpighiales; Euphorbiaceae
Exons: 2
Source: RefSeq, a predicted model, not a curated record
CAAAGAAAUCCUGUUAACAUUAUUAAUUAAGUGGAAACUGCAUUUCUCAGCUGAAAUCAACAUAUUGCUGUUGUCAUUGUCAACAUCACACCAUAUAUAUUAACCUGAGAUACAGACUUUACAACCAUUCCACCCAUUUCCUUUUUUUCCCCUUCUUUUUGUUUGGCAUCUUAUCUCUUGCUUUUUGGUUGAACUUUUAGAAUUUUAACUUUCAAACUCAACCAUCUCAUAGUUUCCAAAUUGUGAGCUGGCUGCAUGAUUAAAUUAUAUUCAAGUUGCCAAAGGAUAGUCUAAAAUUAGUGGGUUAAUGGUGAAAUAUGAAUUUGUAAUACAAGAGAGUAGCAAUUUAAAUUUUAUCAGCUCUGCUCCCUUCUUACUAUUUAAGCCAGUAAUCCAAUAAUCAAAUGCCAACCAUAUAACACAAUUUAAACACUAAAAUGUGCAUUAGAUAUUAUGUCAAUUAGAAUUAAUGUACAAGUUAUGAAAUAUAAGGUAUUACACCAUCACAAAAACUAAGGCAAGUAAAAAAAAAAAAAAAGAAAGCCCUUGUGGGAAUUUGAUGAAAGGAAAAGCAAACCCAUUGAGACAUUCAUAAUUUUAGAUCACUUUAUCAAACUUUAAACAAGAUACGCUUUCUUUAUGGAAUUGUUUAAGGCCUGCCUUUUAUCAAAGAUAGCUUUGUUCUAACUUUCCAAAAAGAUGACUGACCUCUUGAUUUUUAAUGCUUCCACUUUUUCUCUUUACCAUUUGGACUUCCAACUCCCAAAGUGGAAUCAAAUGUUACAGAUAGUGUUGAAGUCUUUGAAGUCCUGACAAGCACUGUGGUUUUAUGUUGGCACAAAAUCAAAAAGAUACAAAAAUAAUGGUUGUAUGCCAAUUACAUAUCAAUUUGACUAAAUCAGAGGUAAGUUUUGCAACUACUCCCAACCCAUGUUUGUAAUCUGUAUCCUCCCCCCUUUUAGAAAGUGAAAAAUAUUCUUUCACAGUGCUAUGCUCACAUAGUGUUUGCUUGUUUGUCUUAACGGUUAAGAAAUUAAGAAAUUAUUACAAUUUAAAA